RNAcentral lists this unclassified non-coding RNA (772 nucleotides) under Hevea brasiliensis (rubber tree). Lineage: Eukaryota; Viridiplantae; Streptophyta; Magnoliopsida; Malpighiales; Euphorbiaceae. The record is from RNAcentral.
UCAAUUUGUGCAGACUCUACAUCCUUGAUAACAGCCAAAAAUUCUUUCACUUUGGAUUUUGUUAAUUGGUUUACAGAUGUGGAUUGCAACUCCUGAACCACAGAGCACAGGCAUUCUAGAUAAUAAGCACGCAAGGAAGUCGAUUCCAACCGACAGUUUGCUGCUAUAUUCCCAUACUUGUCAAGGAUUAACUGCAAGGUAGAAGCAGCAGUUGAUCUCACAUGAUAUUUUCCUACUGACACACAGGAAUCAGAAAUAACAGACUGAAUUUCAUCAUCACUCUCUUCUGAAGCACGAGAAAUGCCCGAAAAAGUGAAGUUCAGAGACUUGGCAGUUGGAUCAUUAGUGACUUCCACAUUCUCAGUAAUAGGAGAUGAAGCUGCCUCAGGUGAAGCAAGAUGCUUUUCAUUGUCCUCCAGAUUGGUUGGUGGCACAAUGGCAUAACAGGUAAAACUACCAAGUGUGAGUUUUUUUGGGACCAUUAGGCGUUAAAUUCCCAGAUGUAUGCAGAAAUUCAGUGGAUUGAACUUGUCCCUUGUCAAAUGAAUGAUCAUGAGAAUAAGCUUCUUCAGAAUUUUGCCGGGAUGAAGAAGAAGAAUUACUGUUCUCUGAUUUCACCUUUUUUUUAAUGGAAAGAGGUGAGCGAGGGGACAGAGAGUCAGCAGGGUACACUGUUUUAACAGCAGAUAUGUUGUUUUGAGGGGACCUAGGCCUAGAUUCAGACCCCUUCUUUUUUCUGCCAAAGCUUCGAGAAGCUUCAAGAAUGAAAGAG